GAACACAUCGUGCCUUUCUCAUAUGUUAGUUUUACCUAAAGGCUGACUCAAUUUGUUUUUGUAAUAGUAGCUUUAGAAGCUCAAGUAUUAUAUCCCCUUUAAUGAUUCUUACCUUGAUUAACCAGACUUCUGAGUUUUGUCCUAGUUAUGAGAUCUGCCUAUCCAAGCUAUCCCAAAGUCUUCAUAGAAUCGUAUGCCCAAGAGAAAUAGGGUAAAAGCCCAGACUUGCUGGCUUCUCUGGACAGAACCCAGAUAUGAGAUAUGUCCUCAGCUGCAUGGCGGUGGAUCUUAGCCUCUUUUGUUUCAUUAAAAAAAAAAAAAAAAAGUCAAGCAUGAGCUCCACAGUAUGCAAUGCUCCUGGAUUAGAAAAUGACAUGCUGUGCCUCCCUCCAUCCAAGCUGACCACGUGCCAAAUGGUCAGCCCAGUAUGUCUACUGAAUCUUGCAUGAAUGAUGAAAAGAGGUUGUUUUUAGCAGAAGUGACGUCACAGUUUGUGAAAUGUUUGGUGAGAAAAAUAAUCCAUUCCAAGGGGAAAAAAGGACAUAAAAAGAGGUACAUAUACAUAUGUCGAUGGAAAUAUUUUAAGCACCACCCAAAGGUGGGGUUUGGGCACUGAAAGACCAGUUACCAGUCCCAAGUUACCAGUAAAAAGAACCCUCUUGUGUGUGAUGACUACAGAUGGUCUGGAAUGCUAGUAAGCCUGAAGGGUCAGAGGAUCUGGAGGACUGCGAGUUUUAAAAUAUAAUUAGGAUUUUUAAAAAUGCUACAAAAUGUUCUCAUGCAGGACAAUCUAGUUUCAAAUAGUCUCAAUAAAAGACUGCUUCCCAAAGUAGAGUAAGAAAUAACUUUAUUUUUCAUUUGCCAACCCCAUGAUUGAAAAGACAUGUUGCUCCCAAAUCGACAAGAGGCAUUUUCUGAAACAAAAUUCUUCCUGAAAAUUUAGCUUGUGAAGUUAUUACACGGCAAAUCAGAGAAGGAUUACAAAAAGCUACAGCCAACAUUUAAAACUGGUAUCACGUUCUACCCCAAGCUUGGUAACAGAAGUUUUAAAGCUGUAUCAAAACCAUGUCAGCCACAGGAUAGCAACAGUAGUGGCAUUAACUGUUGUGCCUUCAACUUAAGAAAAGCAUUUAAAAUAUCCCAUUUCCUAUAAAAGAUCAUUUCCCAGGAAAGAACUGAUUUAUUCAACCAGAAGCCUAUUAGAACUGGAACUACAGAGCUCGCCGCCUCCGCCUCACAGCUCUACGUUUCCCUGUAAUCAACAAUAUCUCUAGCUAAUCAUUUGACAGAAUUUGGCUUCUCAGAAGAGUCUUUGUCAUUUAAGCACAGUGUGGAAUGGGGAAAAAAGUGUGUAGUUACAAGGGAACUAGGAGACUACAAAAGACAAUCACUUCUGAAACUCACUGAUGCUCAAGAAAUCAGAGACCCUCCAUCACAGUGGGUCUCAUAUGCCUGAGAGCUUUGUGCUUGAGGAAACACUACUUAGAGGUAGCUCUGGUUCUGGUUUAUAUUUAAUUACAAUUUGCUGUAUCCUGUCACAGGAAAGUUUCAACAUUUUCAGCAAGGUAUAAGCACUCCAAAUUUCCUCCUUACCCACCCUAUAGCUUCCCCAUAGAAAACGGUAAGAAAAAGCUUAACUGUGAGUCCAUAUAGCAUAGCGGCUAAUUCAGCAAUUCACACCCGACUAUGGACUGACAGGACUAGGAAAGGCAACCUGGUGCAACGAGCUCCAUGAGCUAGACCUGCAGAAGCGUGGUGGCCUGGCGUGUCCACAGCACGCAGGGAGAGGAGGGGAGGCUGAGUAAUUAGGGGGCACACGUGGAGAAUUUCUUCUAUGCAUUUCAUAGCACAUUCUGCCACAGCAACAAAACCACCAACUCAGGAAUGCCUUUGACUGUACUCUGAUUUCAAAGAUGUCUGUGUCCCUCCCCAACCCCCCCACCUACACUUCACGCAAGAGAGAAGGAUUACACUUCUGUACGUGAAUACAGGGCCUACAGCAAGAAGUGGGCAGGGAUGGGUACAAACAGCAUGGUCUAUACAACAAAAUACCUUUUGAAAAGAUUUAUGUAACUUUAAGUAUUAAAAUGAAGGUUUUACCUCUACAUGAAUAUCAUUCUGUAGUCCUGCUCCUACAUGCACAUGGUCUGGUCACUUUUGAAAGAGAACUCGAGCGUGAACAAGGAAUCCAAAGGGCAGUUUUACGGGAGAUGCAAGAGGUGCUAACAAACGUACCAGCGUGUCAAUCGUUCUACUCUGAGCCUCUUUAUUCAAUACUCUGUCAACUUGAAAGGAAGAAAAAGAACCAAAUAUUCAGACCAAAUUAAUUAUGUGCCAUAAACUAUUCAGCACACAGGAUAUCCUUUAAACGAUACUGAAAAAAUGUCCACUGCCUGAAGUAUUAAUUUUUAAAAAGCCAAUAAACUGAAAAUUUCAA
Molecule: long non-coding RNA, 2437 nt
Filed under: Phocoena sinus (vaquita)
Lineage: Eukaryota; Metazoa; Chordata; Mammalia; Artiodactyla; Phocoenidae
Description: lncRNA (ENSPSNG00000019710.1)
Source: RNAcentral